This 274-nucleotide ribosomal RNA is filed under the name uncultured bacterium. RNAcentral describes it as "partial 16S ribosomal RNA". It matches the Rfam family "Bacterial small subunit ribosomal RNA", at positions 523 to 796 of the family's 1533-position model. The record is from RNAcentral.
AUACGGAGGAUCCAAGCGUCAUCCGGAUUUAUUGGGUUUAAAGGGUGCGCAGGCGGUAUUAUAAGUCAGUGGUGAAAUCUGGAGGCUCAACCUCCAAACUGCCAUUGAUACUGUAGUACUAGAGUACAGACGAAGUAGGCGGAAUGUAGCAUGUAGCGGUGAAAUGCUUAGAUAUGCUACAGAACACCGAUCGCGAAGGCAGCUUACUAGACUGUUACUGACGCUAAUGCACGAAAGCGUGGGGAGCGAACAGGAUUAGAAACCCGGGUAGUCC